This is a long non-coding RNA of Gallus gallus (chicken), 2840 nucleotides long. RefSeq lists it as uncharacterized. NCBI's taxonomy places the organism in Eukaryota, Metazoa, Chordata, Aves, Galliformes, Phasianidae. The record is from RefSeq and is a predicted model, not a curated record. The transcript has 4 exons.
AGAUUGAUUCAAAACUGCUGGAGUGCAGGAGGGAAGGCAGCCUAUGAAGUAGCUAACUGAAGUUAUUUGGAAGCCAGGAGCUUAAUUUCAUGCAUAGGACUUAAUAAAUAAGAAGAUGUAGUCAUGAUUUACUGUAAAACCAAAGAACCACUGAAUCAUGAGCCAGCAGAACUAUUUUCCAGAGCUUUAAAUAUUUCAUCUUCUUGCCUGGAUACUGGAUUUUCAGUAAGUAUGCAGUCAUGCAGUCCUCUGUAUUUCAGAAAGAUUAUGUUCUACAGAAAAAUCUAUCUGACUUUCUAUGAUUUUGAACGUGGAAAUUACUUUCCUUUAGUAUUUUAUUUAUAGGGCUUCCUCUUAACAAUUAGUCCUAUGAAGAAAAACAAAGCAAUUGAAACAAAGUGACUGAUUCUGCUGAUGUGUUGUGUACUGAAAUGUCAGAUCUGCCUUCUGAGAUGCAGUGUAAUUAAUAGGAGACCAGAGACGUGGAGUCCGUAAAAUAACCCUGAAGAUAAAAUGUUGUGAAAAAGAGAAUAAGCAUGGGGGAAAAAAAUAAAUAAAUCCAUAAAUACUGGAGAAAAGCUCAACAUUAACCAAAGAUACCAUGUUAGUAUACAGGACAGUUGUUCUAAGUAAUGCAGACAGAAUUCAUUUCACAUCCUUUUCUUCUUUGCCUCACCUCAUACAGCAGUGGCUAAGAAUAUACAGGAGAGCUCCGUUUGUUCACUGUUGUUCAUGAUCAUGACAAUGAAAGAGUUCACUUCCUGCCAACUGAUUCUACUCUGGAAGCACAACAGUAAAAAAUAGUUUAAGGGAGGAAAGAAAUGUUCUGAAGAGGUUGCUAGAGUAAUAGAAUCAUGAGAUAAAUAAAAAACCCUCGAGUCAAGAAUUUCCCUUCUGUUAUUUUAAAGAGGAAAUGGUAUUUUUAGCCUCCUACUUGAAAGACAGAACAGUUGACAAACUCAGAAAAAUUCACUCUUACCUGGUAAACAACCAGCAGUAUAGCAGUUUUAUUGCAUAGGACUUUAAUGACUGUAUUAGCCAUUAUUAAAUAGGUUUAGUUAUUUCAGCUCCUCAAGUUCAUGGUACCAGUGCUUACUAUAUCAUUCCUUUUUAACGCAGGCUUUUGUUCUAAGACAUUAUCCAUGUCUCCAUGCCCCAUCCCUGGAGGUGUUGAAGGCCAGGUUGGAUAGAUUUCUGGGCAGCCUAAUCUAGUGGGUGAAAACCCUGCCCCUAGCAGGGGUUGGAACUGGAUGGGCUUUAAGGUUUUUUUCCAACCCAGCCAUUCUAUAAUGCUAUGAUUCCAUGACUCCCUCCAAAACCUUGCAGCUUCUACCAUACAUUUCUACACUUUAACUGUGCCACAUGUGAAGGGGAAAAAAAGAAAAAAAAGAAAAAACAAACAAACAAACAAAAAAAACACUUCCAGUCUGGUUGGACAAGAUAUACUUUCUUUAUUCCUUGCUAUUAUCUAUAUGGAAAAGAUAUCAGUGAAGCAGUGAAGUAAAAUUGUCUCAGUGUCACUGAGCACAUAUUAGUUACUUUCAGUAAACCCUUAAGGGGGCUGAAUCCCUUAAGUCUAUUUGUAAACUCAUACUGAUGCACAAAACAUACAAAAUGAACACAUUUCCCAUUUGGAUGGUAUGCAAGCACUUCAGGAGCAACAGCAACUUCCUUUCCCUUUCCAAACAGUUGGCAGAUUGCAUCAGGUGAAGUUUAUUCGAAAACCACCAAAGUGACUUCACAGCACGUGUACCACUGAAAGGGAAUUAAUUCUAUACUUUUAUUCCACACAGGCACAUUUAAAAAUCUCAACUCUGAUAAAACUUCACAGAAAAAUGUGUCUGAUUAUGACUUCUAUUCCUCAUAUUAUACAUUCAGAUACUGUCUUGUGCUGUAAGCUCCUCAUAGCUCUAUGGUAUUUAUAUUUCUCCUUUAAAGUCACACUGCCACCUACAUAGAUAGGAAUCUGUAUGUCUUGGCUGGGUGUUUCAAAAUCUCAUCUGCGAUCUAGGAAUUCUGUUUGUUUGAGAUUGCUGGGGGUUGGGAGUUGGGUUGUUUUGGUUUCAGGUUUUAUUUUUCAUAUGCUAUUAACCAGAAUAGCUCACAGAGAAAAUAAUGAAAUUAUUUAUUCCUCAUAGACAGGUAUUUGUUUUAUUUUUCAUCUGGGCUGUAGGUAGCUGGGAUUUAUGUUUCUUCUCUAAGCUAUGCCGCUGAGACUUGAAGAUAGGGCUCUGCUUUGUCCCAUUGUCUGCUGUAUUGGAUAUCUAAAGAUGUCAGGAAAGUCUUUGCCUGCCUCCCAGAAGAAAGAACUGGCCAAAAGUACUUAAUUCUAAAAAGUUCAUAGCUGACAAUUUGGUAACAGAGGGAUUUCCAGUGGGAAAUCAUUGCCUUCCAGUGUUCUGGAAUAUGAUGUCUGAUUACAAUCAGCUCUCAAGGCCCCUUCUUUAAUUUCAGCUUCCCUGCGCAACAACCCUGCUCAAGUGGCAGAUUCCUGUUCAUAUAUAUUUUUAAAGAUUAUCUCAUUAAUGUGGUCAGGGAACGUUUGUUGAUUUGCAGGAAUGUGAGGGUGAAGUUUAUUCUUUGAAAGAAUCUACUGAAAUCAUGGGCCUAUGGCUCCAUACUUACCAUAAGCUUGUUUUCUUUGCAGAAGUAUCAAAUACCCAGAAUUUCUAAAUGGUUGCUUCUAAUUUGUUACUUCUUAUUUACAGUUUUAGCCCCAAACAUAGAAGGCCAGAUUUUCAGUGUAUCAGUGAACAAUAUUUUAACAUUUGGCAGAACUCAAAAAUCUAUUACAGAAGAGAGACCUAGACUCCUCAGAGAAUGUUGAGAGGUGAACUCAG